AAUGAACGCUGGCGGCAUGCCUAACACAUGCAAGUCGAACGAGACCUCCUGGUCUACUGGCGCACGCGUGCGUAACGCGUGGGAACCUUCGCUUAGGGUCGGAAUAACUCCCCGAAAGGGGUGCUAAUACCGGAUAAUAUCUUCGGACACAAGAUCUAUCACCUUUGGAUGAUCCCGCGUUGGAGGAGCCUGUUGGUAGGGUAAAAGUAUACCAGCGCUACGAUCCAUAGAUGGUCUGAGAGGAUGAUCCGCAACACUGGGAGUGGGACGCGGCAGAGAAUCCUACGGGAGGGAGCAGUGGGGGAUAGUGCAAAACGGGCGAGAGGAUGAUCCAGCUAUGACGGGUGAGUGAUGAAGGCCGUAGGGUUGUAAAGCUCUUUUACCCGGGAUGAUAAUGACAGUACCGGGAGAAUAAGCUCCGGCUAACUACGUG
This 433-nucleotide ribosomal RNA is filed under the name uncultured bacterium. RNAcentral describes it as "partial 16S ribosomal RNA". It matches the Rfam family "Bacterial small subunit ribosomal RNA", at positions 29 to 507 of the family's 1533-position model. The record is from RNAcentral.